Non-coding RNA from Bacidia gigantensis, 103 nucleotides. NCBI's taxonomy places the organism in Eukaryota, Fungi, Ascomycota, Lecanoromycetes, Lecanorales, Ramalinaceae. The record is from the annotation of a RefSeq genome assembly.
GUCAUUGGUCUAGUCGUAUGAUUGCCGCUUCGGGUCUACAACCCAAGUAUCUUAGAUACUCACUGUAUGUGGCAGGUCCCGGGUUCAAAUCCCGGAUGAGCCC